Molecule: ribosomal RNA, 253 nt
Filed under: uncultured bacterium
Lineage: Bacteria
Description: partial 16S ribosomal RNA
Rfam family: Bacterial small subunit ribosomal RNA
Source: RNAcentral
GACGUAGGGCGCGAGCGUUGUCCGGAUUUAUUGGGCGUAAAGAGCUCGUAGGCGGCUUGUUGCGUCGUCCGUGAAAACUUGUGGCUUAACCACAGGCUGGCGGUCGAUACGGGCAGGCUGGAGUUCGGUAGGGGAGUCUGGAAUUCCUGGUGUAGCGGUGAAAUGCGCAGAUAUCAGGAGGAACACCGGUGGCGAAGGCGGGACUAUGGGCCGAUACUGACGCUGAGGAGCGAAAGCGUGGGGAGCGAACAGG